RNAcentral lists this ribosomal RNA (390 nucleotides) under Praon bicolor. RNAcentral describes it as "partial 16S ribosomal RNA". Lineage: Eukaryota; Metazoa; Arthropoda; Insecta; Hymenoptera; Braconidae. The record is from RNAcentral.
AAAACAUGUCUUAUUGAUUAUAAUUUUAAGUCUAAUCUGCCCAAUGAUAUUUUAUUUAAUGGCUGCAGUAUUUAUAACUGUACAAAGGUAGCAUAAUAAUUAGUUUUUUAAUUGAAAACUAGAAUGAAAGAUUAAAUGAAAUAUAUACUAUAUAAAUAAAAUUAAAAAUUAAAAUUAAAAUUUAAGUAAAAAUUCUUAAAUUAUUUUAAAAGACGAGAAGACCCUAUAGAAUUUUAUUUUUUGUUAUUUUAAAAUUUAGUAAUAAAUUUAAAUAUAUAAUAAAAAAUUUAAUUGGGGUAAUUUUAAAAUUAAAUUAAUUUUUAUUUAAAAAACAUAAAUUAAUGAAUUUUUAAUCUUAAAAUUUAGAUUAAAAAAAUAAAUUACCUUAGG